RNAcentral lists this ribosomal RNA (496 nucleotides) under uncultured bacterium. Its description in RNAcentral is "partial 16S ribosomal RNA". It matches the Rfam family "Bacterial small subunit ribosomal RNA", at positions 28 to 506 of the family's 1533-position model. The record is from RNAcentral.
GAUGAACACUGGCGGCGUGCCUAAUACAUGCAAGUCGAGCGAACGGACGAGAAGCUUGCUUCUCUGAUGUUAGCGGCGGACGGGUGAGUAACACGUGGAUAACCUACCUAUAAGACUGGGAUAACUUCGGGAAACCGGAGCUAAUACCGGAUAAUAUUUUGAACCGCAUGGUUCAAAAGUGAAAGACGGUCUUGCUGUCACUUAUAGAUGGAUCCGCGCUGCAUUAGCUAGUUGGUAAGGUAACGGCUUACCAAGGCAACGAUGCAUAGCCGACCUGAGAGGGUGAUCGGCCACACUGGAACUGAGACACGGUCCAGACUCCUACGGGAGGCAGCAGUAGGGAAUCUUCCGCAAUGGGCGAAAGCCUGACGGAGCAACGCCGCGUGAGUGAUGAAGGUCUUCGGAUCGUAAAACUCUGUUAUUAGGGAAGAACAUAUGUGUAAGUAACUGUGCACAUCUUGACGGUACCUAAUCAGAAAGCCACGGCUAACUACGU